Molecule: ribosomal RNA, 700 nt
Filed under: Neobacillus niacini
Lineage: Bacteria; Bacillati; Bacillota; Bacilli; Caryophanales; Bacillaceae
Description: bacterial SSU rRNA
Rfam family: Bacterial small subunit ribosomal RNA
Source: RNAcentral
UGCAAGUCGAGCGAAUCUUGAGGUGCUUGCACCUCUUGGUUAGCGGCGGACGGGUGAGUAACACGUGGGCAACCUGCCUGUAAGACUGGGAUAACUUCGGGAAACCGGAGCUAAUACCGGAUAAUCCUUUUCCUUUCAUGAGGAAAAGCUGAAAGUCGGUUUACGCUGACACUUACAGAUGGGCCCGCGGCGCAUUAGCUAGUUGGUGAGGUAACGGCUCACCAAGGCGACGAUGCGUAGCCGACCUGAGAGGGUGAUCGGCCACACUGGGACUGAGACACGGCCCAGACUCCUACGGGAGGCAGCAGUAGGGAAUCUUCCGCAAUGGACGAAAGUCUGACGGAGCAACGCCGCGUGAGCGAUGAAGGCCUUCGGGUCGUAAAGCUCUGUUGUUAGGGAAGAACAAGUAUCGGAGUAACUGCCGGUACCUUGACGGUACCUAACCAGAAAGCCACGGCUAACUACGUGCCAGCAGCCGCGGUAAUACGUAGGUGGCAAGCGUUGUCCGGAAUUAUUGGGCGUAAAGCGCGCGCAGGCGGUCCUUUAAGUCUGAUGUGAAAGCCCACGGCUCAACCGUGGAGGGUCAUUGGAAACUGGGGGACUUGAGUACAGAAGAGGAAAGCGGAAUUCCACGUGUAGCGGUGAAAUGCGUAGAGAUGUGGAGGAACACCAGUGGCGAAGGCGGCUUUCUGGUCUGUAA